UACGUAGGGUGCGAGCGUUAAUCGGAAUUACUGGGCGUAAAGCGUGCGCAGGCGGUAAGUUAAGUCUGAUGUGAAAGCCCCGGGCUCAACCUGGGAAUGGCAUUGGAAACUGGCUUGCUAGAGUGUGGCAGAGGGGGGUGGAAUUCCGCGUGUAGCAGUGAAAUGCGUAGAGAUGCGGAGGAACACCGAUGGCGAAGGCAGCCCCCCUGGGCUGACACUGACGCUCAGGCACGAAAGCGUGGGGAGCAAACAGG
Molecule: ribosomal RNA, 254 nt
Filed under: uncultured bacterium
Lineage: Bacteria
Description: partial 16S ribosomal RNA
Rfam family: Bacterial small subunit ribosomal RNA
Source: RNAcentral